AGUUUCUCACUUGUAACGACUGUGGGCCGAUUUGAAAUUGUCCCUGAUUAUCCACUUAACCAAUGGAGUCACUGUCUGGGCCAAGUGAAAAUCACAGGCUCGUUUAGCUUCCUCAAAGAUUACAGAAUAACCAGCAAUGACUCUUUCUGGCGUAUACGGUGCGUCUGUCCGUGAUAACCCAGCGGGGACAGGGCACGGGGCCCGCCUUUCAGCUUUAUGUCUUGCAAGUUUCCGUCCUUCACAGUACUGUCAAAAGCAAGCAAAACCGGCAAUAUAGCAUAACAGUGAAGAAUGGGGCUUCUGUAACCAAAUGAUGGUUUUAAGAUCCCAAUUCCAUCGAAAAACCACUGUGUAUCCUUAGGUAAGGACACACAUGCAUCUUAGCCCUCUAUAUGUUAUGUUGUCCCCUAUAAACUUGUCCUUUUCCAUGUCAGAUAUGAUCAAUUAACAACUCCUUAGGUUUCAGCCUGAUGUAAUUAUUCCUGCCAUUUAGAAUCUUUAGCUCUGGAAUGGAAUCAUGGAACUCGAGAGUCAUAACAAUAUCAAGCAGGCCCACAAUUUUAAAAUGCACAUUGUAGAUCAUUGUCCUGAACAAGCCAAGACUGUGCAUUUUUCAUUGUGAUUAGAACCUGGAACCAGGAAACUUGCCCUAUUCCUUGCCAUUACUUAAGAAAGUCUUUGUGGAAGUCCUCAACUUUUCAGCGAAGGAAAAUUGAGUACUUAGGUGAGAGGAAGACUCUAAAGGCAGAAACAGACGGUUGGAAGACAUGGAAGUGAAUCAGUCUGCUCUGCAGAGCAGGUGAGUUCUUAGCUGGCGAUCUUUCCUAGCUACCCCAAAGGAACAGUUCUCCAGCAGAUGUCUAGGUAGUCGGCAUAAUGCAGAAGGUUGAUGGUUGGUAAAAACUGUAGGGUUUUAUCCAUUUCAGCACUAGGGACUUAUAAAAAAUAUUAGAUAUUAAUGAGGUUAACUUUCCAAGAGUCAGUUAUUUGUAUCCACUGGACUGAAAUUAUGAAAGAUGAAGUUCAUAAACAGUAAUACCUUUGUUUAUCAUGAUUUUCUGAGUUUCUUGGAAAAGAACCAUUGAGCCUAUUGAAAGAAAGAUUUUCUCCUCUAACCAUAAACCCAAAGGAAAAAGGUGAUGCACUUUUUUUUUUUUUUUUUGGUUGUUUCUCUUGUAGACCAGUUCCAAUGUUCCCAGUCGCCUUCUGCCCAAGUUAAUAGAGUAUAGCCUGUUUGUCUCUCCACCUACUUGAUGAAUUCAUUUUUUUGAGCAUCUGAUGUUUGCAAAAAGAAUGAGACAAAGUUUCUACCCUGCUCAUCAAACAAUUUUAGUAACACUAAUAAGUAGGUCAUUAUAAAAUACUUGGGCAAAUGGUCGGAGAGAUGCAAAGUGCUGGGAGGCAGCAUUCAAUGAGGACAGGAUGCUCCGUGCCAUCCAUUUACCAAUGUUCUUUCGCGGGGUUGAUCAAAGGCUCUGGAUAAGGAAACCCACUCACCAAUCCA
Herpailurus yagouaroundi (jaguarundi) is the source of this 1504-nucleotide long non-coding RNA. RefSeq lists it as uncharacterized. The record is from RefSeq and is a predicted model, not a curated record. Lineage: Eukaryota; Metazoa; Chordata; Mammalia; Carnivora; Felidae. The transcript has 3 exons.